Molecule: ribosomal RNA, 439 nt
Filed under: uncultured bacterium
Lineage: Bacteria
Description: partial 16S ribosomal RNA
Rfam family: Bacterial small subunit ribosomal RNA
Source: RNAcentral
CUACGGGCGGCUGCAGUGAGGAAUAUUGCACAAUGGGGGGAACCCUGAUGCAGCAACGCCGCGUGGAGGAUGACGCAUUUCGGUGUGUAAACUCCUUUUAUAUGUCAAGAAAAUGACGGUAGCAUAUGAAUAAGCACCGGCUAACUCCGUGCCAGCAGCCGCGGUAAUACGGAGGGUGCAAGCGUUACUCGGAAUCACUGGGCGUAAAGGACGCGUAGGCGGGCUUGUAAGUCAGGUGUGAAAUCCUACAGCUUAACUGUAGAACUGCACUUGAAACUACGAGCCUAGAGUAUGGGAGGGGGAGAUGGAAUUAGUGGUGUAGGGGUAAAAUCCGUAGAUAUCACUAGGAAUACCUAAAGCGAAGGCGAUCUCCUGGAACAUAACUGACGCUAAGGCGUGAAAGCGUGGGGAGCAAACAGGAUUAGAUACCCCAGUAGUC